Molecule: ribosomal RNA, 226 nt
Filed under: uncultured bacterium
Lineage: Bacteria
Description: partial 16S ribosomal RNA
Rfam family: Bacterial small subunit ribosomal RNA
Source: RNAcentral
AGUAACGCGUGAGGAACCUGCCUCAAAGAGGGGACAACAGUUGGAAACGACUGCUAAUACCGCAUAAGCCCACAGCUCGGCAUCGAGCAGAGGGAAAAGGAGUGAUCCGCUUUGAGAUGGCCUCGCGUCCGAUUAGCUGGUUGGUGAGGUAACGGCCCACCAAGGCGACGAUCGGUAGCCGGACUGAGAGGUUGAACGGCCACAUUGGGACUGAGACACGGCCCAG